RNAcentral lists this ribosomal RNA (1700 nucleotides) under human gut metagenome. Its description in RNAcentral is "bacterial LSU rRNA". It matches the Rfam family "Bacterial large subunit ribosomal RNA", at positions 804 to 2555 of the family's 2925-position model. The record is from RNAcentral.
AUGAGGUGUGGAUAGCGGAGAAAUUCCAAUCGAACUCGGAGAUAGCUGGUUCUCCUCGAAAUAGUUUUAGGACUAGCCUUGUUUAGUAGUACGUGGGGGUAGAGCACUGAAGGAGCUAGGGGCCAAACCAGGUUACCGAACUCUAUCAAACUCCGAAUACCAUGUGCGUAAGAACAGGAGUCAGACUACGGGAGCUAAGUUCCGUGGUCAAAAGGGAAAGAGCCCAGACCGCCAAUUAAGGUCCCAAAGAUAUAGUUAAGUGGAAAACGAUGUGAUUUUGCGUAAACAACCAGGAUGUUGGCUUAGAAGCAGCCAUUCAUUUAAAGAGUGCGUAAUAGCUCACUGGUCGAGUGAAGUUGCGCGGAAAAUUACCGGGGCUAAACUAUACACCGAAAUUGCGGAUUCAUGAGUAAUCAUGAGUGGUAGAGGAGCAUUCUAUAGUAGGACGAAGGUAGAUCGAAAGGACUGCUGGACGAGAUAGAAGAGAGAAUGCCGGAAUAAGUAGCGAAAGCAUGGUGAGAAUCCAUGCCAUCGAAAGUCUAAGGUUUCCUGGGGAAGGUUCGUCCGCCCAGGGUAAGUCGGGGCCUAAGGAGAGGCCGAGAGGCGUAUCCGAUGGACAGCAGGUAGAAAUUCCUGCACCACCGAUAUACUUAAAAGAUGCAAGGGACACAGGAGCGGAAGGAAAGCGAGGAAGAGGAAAAACUCGUAUCGAAAGAUAUAGUGAAAAAUGAAGUAACGAAUUUCCAAGAAGCACACUGGCGAGAAAAGCUUGUAGAUAUUGUAUAAAGGUGCCCGUACCGCAAACCGACACAGGUAGAUGAGGAGAGGAUCCUAAGAUGAGCGAGAGAAGCAUUGUUAAGGAACUCGGCAAAUUGACCCCGUAACUUAGGGAGAAGGGGUACCAAUGUAAAAGUUGGUCGCAGAGAAGAGGCCCAAGCAACUGUUUAACAAAAACACAGGUUUCUGCUAAAUCGAAAGAUGAAGUAUAGGAGCUGACGCCUGCCCAGUGCUGGAAGGUUAAGGGGAGAGGUUAUCCCACGAGGAGAAGCUUUGAACCAAAGCCCCAGUGAACGGCGGCCGUAACUAUAACGGUCCUAAGGUAGCGAAAUUCCUUGUCAGGUAAGUUCUGACCCGCACGAAAGGCGUAAUGAUUUGGGCGCUGUCUCGACAAUGUACUCGGCGAAAUUGUAGUACUAGUGAAGAUGCUAGUUACCUGCGACAAGACAGAAAGACCCCAUGGAGCUUUACUGUAGUUUGAUACUGGGUUUCGAUAAUUUAUGUACAGGAUAGGUGGGAGACUAUGAAGCAUAUGCGUCAGCGUAUGUGGAGUCAUCCUUGGGAUACCACCCUUAGAUUAUUGAAAUUCUAACCUGUGGUCGUAAACCGGCCAGGGGACAAUGUCAGACGGGCAGUUUGACUGGGGCGGUCGCCUCCAAAAGAGUAACGGAGGCGCGCAAAGGUUUCCUCAGCGCGGACAGAAAUCGCGCGAAAGAGUGCAAAGGCAGAAGGAAGCUUAACUGAGAGACUGACAAGUCGACCAGAUACGAAAGUAGGUCUUAGUGAUCCGGCGGUAGUGAGUGGAAAUGCCGUCGCUCAACGGACAAAAGUUACCCUGGGGAUAACAGGCUUAUCUCCCCCAAGAGUUCACAUCGACGGGGAGGUUUGGCACCUCGAUGUCGGCUCAUCGCAUCCUGGGGCUG